RNAcentral lists this ribosomal RNA (1590 nucleotides) under Physeter macrocephalus (sperm whale). RNAcentral describes it as "Physeter catodon (sperm whale) 16S ribosomal RNA". It matches the Rfam family "Bacterial large subunit ribosomal RNA", at positions 274 to 2854 of the family's 2925-position model. The record is from RNAcentral. Lineage: Eukaryota; Metazoa; Chordata; Mammalia; Artiodactyla; Physeteridae.
ACUAGAUCUAGCCCACACUCCCCCCCCCCCCCCCCCCCCCNAUCACAGACAAAUCAAAUAAAGCAUUCACCACCCAUUCAAAGUAUAGGAGAUAGAAAUCCAAAUCACUAGUGGCGCUAUAGAGAAAGUACCGUAAGGGAAAGAUGAAAGAUAUCCUAAAAGUAAAAAAAAGCAAAGCUUACCCCUUGUACCUUUUGCAUAAUGAAUUAACUAGUAGUAACUUAGCAAAGAGACCUUUAGUUAAACUACCCGAAACCAGACGAGCUACUUACGAACAGUACCUAGAACGAACUCAUCUAUGUGGCAAAAUAGUGAGAAGAUUUGUAAGUAGAGGUGAAAAGCCUAACGAGCCUGGUGAUAGCUGGUUGUCCAAGAAAAGAAUCUCAGUUCAACAUUAAACAGUACCAAGAACCCCCUGAAGUUCCAAUGUAUGUUUAACUGUUAGUCUAAAAAGGUACAGCUUUUUAGAAAUGGGUACAACCUUAACUAGAGAGUAAAACAGACACACACAUGCCAUAGUUGGCUUAAAAGCAGCCAUCAAUUAAGAAAGCGUUCAAGCUCAACAAUAAAACUGUGUUAUAAUCCCAACAAUAACAAAUCAACUCCUAGUAUAAUUAUUGGACUAAUCUAUAUAAUUAUAGAAGCAAUACUGUUAACAUGAGUAACAAGAAAACUUUUUCUCCUCGCACAAGCUUACAUCAGUAACUGAUACUACACUGAUAGUUAACAGCCAAUAAAUAAAACCCAACGCCAAGCCAUUUAUUAAGCCCACUGUUAACCCAACACAGGCGUGCACCAAGGAAAGAUUAAAAAAAGUAAAAGGAACUCGGCAAACACAAACCUCGCCUGUUUACCAAAAACAUCACCUCUAGCAUAACCAGUAUUAGAGGCACUGCCUGCCCAGUGACUGAUAGUUAAACGGCCGCGGUAUCCUGACCGUGCAAAGGUAGCAUAAUCACUUGUUCUCUAAAUAAGGACUUGUAUGAACGGCCACACGAAGGUUUUACUGUCUCUUACUUUUAAUCAGUGAAAUUGACCUUCCCGUGAAGAGGCGGGAAUAACAAAACAAGACGAGAAGACCCUAUGGAGCUUCAAUUAAUCAACCCAAUAACCCACAACCUCAAACCACCAAGGGAUAAAAAAAACUUAUAUGGGUUGACAAUUUCGGUUGGGGUGACCUCGGAGCACAAAAACCCCUCCGAGUGAUUAAAGCCUAGGCCUACCAGCCAAAGCAUAACAUCACUUAUUGAUCCAAAGCUUUGAUCAACGGAACAAGUUACCCUAGGGAUAACAGCGCAAUCCUAUUCUAGAGUCCAUAUCGACAAUAGGGUUUACGACCUCGAUGUUGGAUCAGGACAUCCUAAUGGUGCAGCCGCUAUUAAGGGUUCGUUUGUUCAACGAUUAAAGUCCUACGUGAUCUGAGUUCAGACCGGAGCAAUCCAGGUCGGUUUCUAUCUGUUGCGCAUUUCUCCCAGUACGAAAGGACAAGAGAAAUAAGGCCAACUUUACACACGCGCCUUCAAAUAACUAAUGAUCUAAUCUUAAUUAAACAAACAAGCGCAAACUAACCCUGCCCAAGACCAGGGCAUU